Long non-coding RNA from Xiphophorus couchianus (Monterrey platyfish), 579 nucleotides. RefSeq lists it as uncharacterized. NCBI's taxonomy places the organism in Eukaryota, Metazoa, Chordata, Actinopteri, Cyprinodontiformes, Poeciliidae. The record is from RefSeq and is a predicted model, not a curated record. The transcript has 6 exons.
GUUCCAUCGACACCAGCUGAACCGAACCCCGGUACUCCAUUAAGGUUCUGUCCAGUUCUGUGGUCUUGUCCGGCUCGGAGGUUCUGUUCGGUUCUAAGGUUCUGUCCAGUUCUGUCCGGUUCUAAGGUUCUGUUCGGUUCUAAGGUUCUGUCCAGUUCUAAGGUUCUGUUCGGUUCUGAGGUUCUGUUCGGUUCUGAGGUUCUGUCCGGUUCUGUCUGUUCUAAGGUUCAGUUCGGUUCUAAGGUUCUGUCCGGUUCUGUCUGUUCUAAGGUUCUGUCCAGUUCUAAGGUUCUGUUCGGUUCUGAGGUUCUGUCCGGUUCUGUCUGUUCUAAGGUUCUGUCCGGUUCUAAGGUUUUGUACGGUUCUGUUCGGUUCUAAGGUUCUGUUCGGUUCUAAGGUUCUGUUCGGUUCUAAGGUUCUGUCCGGUUCUGUCUUUUCUAAGGUUCUGUUCGGUUCUAAGGUUCUGUCCGGUUCUGAGGUCCAGUACUGCGGUUCUGGUACUUGUAGCAGUCGUUGUUGAAGCGGUUGUAGCUUCCCAGUGCGGUCAGCGCUCCCAGUCCGAUGGCGUAGGAGAAGAAG